RNAcentral lists this ribosomal RNA (520 nucleotides) under uncultured Glomus. RNAcentral describes it as "SSU rRNA". It matches the Rfam family "Eukaryotic small subunit ribosomal RNA", at positions 569 to 1091 of the family's 1831-position model. Lineage: Eukaryota; Fungi; Glomeromycota; Glomeromycetes; Glomerales; Glomeraceae. The record is from RNAcentral.
AGCAGCCGCGGUAAUUCCAGCUCCAAUAGCGUAUAUUAAAGUUGUUGCAGUUAAAAAGCUCGUAGUUGAAUUUCGGGGUCAGUAGGUUGGUCAUGCCUUUGGUAUGUACUGGUCUCACUGAUUCCUCCUCUUGAAGAACUGUAAUGUCAUUAAUUUGGUGUUGCGGGGAAUCAGGACUGUUACUUUGAAAAAAUUAGAGUGUUUAAAGCAGGCUUACGCUUGAAUACAUUAGCAUGGAAUAAUGAAAUAGGACGUUUGAUCCUAUUUUGUUGGUUUCUAGGAUUGACGUAAUGAUUAAUAGGGAUAGUUGGGGGCAUUAGUAUUCAAUUGUCAGAGGUGAAAUUCUUGGAUUUAUUGAAGACUAACUACUGCGAAAGCAUUUGCCAAGGAUGUUUUCAUUAAUCAAGAACGAAAGUUAGGGGAUCGAAGACGAUCAGAUACCGUCGUAGUCUUAACCAUAAACUAUGCCGACUAGGGAUCGGAUGAUGUUAAUUUUUUAAUGACUCAUUCGGCGCCUUAC